This 495-nucleotide ribosomal RNA is filed under the name uncultured bacterium. RNAcentral describes it as "partial 16S ribosomal RNA". It matches the Rfam family "Bacterial small subunit ribosomal RNA", at positions 28 to 505 of the family's 1533-position model. The record is from RNAcentral.
GAUGAACGCUGGCGGCGUGCCUAAUACAUGCAAGUCGAGCGAACGGACGAGAAGCUUGCUUCUCUGAUGUUAGCGGCGGACGGGUGAGUAACACGUGGAUAACCUACCUAUAAGACUGGGAUAACUUCGGGAAACCGGAGCUAAUACCGGAUAAUAUUUUGAACCGCAUGGUUCAAAAGUGAAAGACGGUCUUGCUGUCACUUAUAGAUGGAUCCGCGCUGCAUUAGCUAGUUGGUAAGGUAACGGCUUACCAAGGCAACGAUGCAUAGCCGACCUGAGAGGGUGAUCGGCCACACUGAAACUGAGACACGGUCCAGACUCCUGCGGGAGGCAGCAGUAGGGAAUCUUCCGCAAUGGGCGAAAGCCUGACGGAGCAACGCCGCGUGAGUGAUGAAGGUCUUCGGAUCGUAAAACUCUGUUAUUAGGGAAGAACAUAUGUGUAAGUAACUGUGCACAUCGUGACGGUACCUAAUCAGAAAGCCACGGCUAACUACG